This 226-nucleotide long non-coding RNA is filed under the name Mytilus galloprovincialis (Mediterranean mussel). The record is from RNAcentral. Lineage: Eukaryota; Metazoa; Mollusca; Bivalvia; Mytilida; Mytilidae.
UUUUUUUUAAUUUGAUAUCUUAAAUUGCGUUUAAGAUUUUCCUACAUAUUUCUACUUGCCCUUUUUUAUUGAUGUCUUGACAAAAUCCAAUUUUUCCCUUUUUGUUCAGAUGAAAGGCGUUAAAAUCAAUCUCCUGUCUUGUUUAUUGAAGAUAUAUCAAAGAUAAAAAGUACGUGUUCAUACAUGUUCAUAUAUGAUUAAACAAAACAAAAUACACAUAAUUCUG